Molecule: ribosomal RNA, 152 nt
Filed under: Pilobolus longipes
Lineage: Eukaryota; Fungi; Mucoromycota; Mucoromycetes; Mucorales; Pilobolaceae
Description: 5.8S ribosomal RNA
Rfam family: 5.8S ribosomal RNA (bases 33-152)
About the family: 5.8S ribosomal RNA (5.8S rRNA) is a component of the large subunit of the eukaryotic ribosome. It is transcribed by RNA polymerase I as part of the 45S precursor that also contains 18S and 28S rRNA.
Source: RNAcentral
AAAACAAUCAGCUUAAAAAACUGAUUAAAAACAACUUUUAACAACGGAUCUCUAGGCUCUCGCAUCGAUGAAGAACGUAGCAAAUUGCGAUAACUAUUGUGAAUUGCAUCUCGUGAAUCAUCAAGUUUUUGAACGCAUCUUGCACUCUUUGG